AUGCCGCGUGCAUGAUGAAGGCCUUCGGGUUGUAAACUGCUUUUGUACGGAACGAAAAAGCUCCUUCUAAUACAGGGGGCCCAUGACGGUACCGUAAGAAUAAGCACCGGCUAACUACGUGCCAGCCGCCGCGGUAA
RNAcentral lists this ribosomal RNA (137 nucleotides) under uncultured Delftia sp. RNAcentral describes it as "partial 16S ribosomal RNA". It matches the Rfam family "Bacterial small subunit ribosomal RNA", at positions 394 to 523 of the family's 1533-position model. The record is from RNAcentral. Lineage: Bacteria; Pseudomonadati; Pseudomonadota; Betaproteobacteria; Burkholderiales; Comamonadaceae.